RNAcentral lists this ribosomal RNA (541 nucleotides) under Phomopsis sp. Prcs1-1-2. RNAcentral describes it as "eukaryotic LSU rRNA". The stretch from base 189 to 344 matches the Rfam family "5.8S ribosomal RNA". The record is from RNAcentral. Lineage: Eukaryota; Fungi; Ascomycota; Sordariomycetes; Diaporthales; Diaporthaceae.
GUCGUCAACAAGGUUUCCGUAGGUGGAACCUGGCGGAAGGAUCAUUACCUAGAGUUGUAGGCUUUGCCUGCUAUCUCUUACCCAUGUCUUUUGAGUACCUUACGUUUCCUCGGUGGGUUCGCCCACCGAUUGGACAAACUUAAACCCUUUGCAGUUGAAAUCAGCGUCUGAAAAACUUUAAUAGUUACAACUUUCAACAACGGAUCUCUUGGUUCUGGCAUCGAUGAAGAACGCAGCGAAAUGCGAUAAGUAGUGKGAAUUGCAGAAUUCAGUGGAAUCAUCGAAUCUUUGGAACGCACAUUGCGCCCYYUGGUAUUCCRGAGGGCAUGCCUGUUCGAGCGUCAUUUSAACCCUCAAGCCUGGCUUGGUGAUGGGGCACUGCCUUUGAGACACAAGGCAGGCCCUUAAAUUCAGUGGCGAGCUCGCCAGGACCCCGAGCGCAGUAGUUAAACCCUCGCUUUGGAAGAGCUUGGUGUGGCCCUGCCGUUAAACCCCCAACUUCUGAAAAUUUGACCUCGGAUCAGGUAGGAAUACCCGCUGA